RNAcentral lists this long non-coding RNA (889 nucleotides) under Homo sapiens (human). Its description in RNAcentral is "HSALNT0188198". Lineage: Eukaryota; Metazoa; Chordata; Mammalia; Primates; Hominidae. The record is from RNAcentral.
CGGCUGGCGGAGAUUGAGCAACGGGGAAAGGCGGGAGGCACCUCCCCUCUUCCGGAUCCAGCACCCGCAGACCUGGUCAGCCCUUCCUGAGAUCUGCCCUGUGGAGCUCUGCUUUGGGGACUGGGUGUGAGGUGAACCAGAAGGAUUUGCUGAGCACCGAGAAAGCACCGGCCUAGGCGCAAAGAGCCGGGGGCCAGCUCUUGGAGGGCCUGGAGACCCCACGUGGUCCCGACCGAAGGACCUGGUGCGUCCAGGUUAACGGAGCUGGGGCGCUCCAAGUCCGGGGGACGAGGGAGCGGCAUGGAGGGGAGCAGGGGCAACUGGGCCUGGUUCCCUUUUUUCCCGCUUACUCUUUGUUUCAGACACAGCCCCCUUUCACUGGCUGGGCACUUGCUUGCAGAGGAGUUGUGUCUUAAAAUGGCGACAGGAAAUCCCACCUGCGCCUCAGCCAAUUAGACUGUCAUAGCGCGAAUUUGCAGGGUGGAAACGCGAGCUUUUUAUUGAUAGGGAAGGUUCAGUCUCCUGUUCAUGGUUCAUCAAAACAGGAAAGGGAAGGUGAAUCAUAAUUCAAAAAUUAACUACCUGGAGCGUUUCAAGUAGACAGUAGUCAUUGUAUUUGGGUGAAUUUUGCUUUUUCAUCACCACUGGAAAAGCAAGAUGAUAACCAAAUUUGAAACUCAUCACGGACUAAACUUCUUAUUCCCUUCGAAUGGCAGUAAAUGGCCUUUAUUAGUUCAACAGUGGCUUCCUGAGAAUCCUAUUUAGAAGGCAUGCUCUUGAGAAAUACUGAAAAACAGAAAGUUCAGAGCAAACCAAAAGGGCAAACACAUGGGCAGCCUAGCUCAGACAGACCUGCAUUCAAUUUCUUCCUCUGACACUUACUGCUUCC